UACAGAGGGUGCGAGCGUUUGUCCGGAAUCACUGGGCGUAAAGGGCGCGUAGGUGGCGCGACAAGUCAGUGGUGAAAGUUCGACGCUCAACGUCGAAUCGGCCACUGAUACUGUUGGGCUUGAGCACUGUAGAGGCUAAUGGAAUUCCGGGUGUAGCGGUGGAAUGCGUAGAGAUGUGGAGGAACACCAGUGGCGAAGGCGACUUUCUGGCUUAUAACUGACGCUGAGGCGCGAAAGCGUGGGGGAGCAAACAGG
This 255-nucleotide ribosomal RNA is filed under the name uncultured bacterium. RNAcentral's name for it is "partial 16S ribosomal RNA". It matches the Rfam family "Bacterial small subunit ribosomal RNA", at positions 524 to 776 of the family's 1533-position model. The record is from RNAcentral.